RNAcentral lists this ribosomal RNA (900 nucleotides) under uncultured archaeon. RNAcentral describes it as "bacterial SSU rRNA". It matches the Rfam family "Archaeal small subunit ribosomal RNA", at positions 1 to 910 of the family's 1478-position model. The record is from RNAcentral.
UUCCGGUUGAUCCCGCCGGACCCGACUGCUAUCAGAGUGGGACUAAGCCAUGCGAGUUAACGUAGCAAUACGUGGCAUACGGCUCAGUAACACGUAGUCAACAUGCCCAGGGGACGUGGAUAACCUCGGGAAACUGAGGAUAAACCGCGAUAGGUCAUGAUUUCUGGAAUGAUUCAUGGCCCAAAUCUAUAUGGCCCCUGGAUUGGACUGCGGCCGAUCAGGCUGUUGGUGAGGUAAUGGCCCACCAAACCUGUUACCGGUACGGGCUCUGAGAGGAGGAGCCCGGAGAUGGGCACUGAGACAAGGGCCCAGGCCCUAUGGGGCGCAGCAGGCGCGAAACCUCUGCAAUAGGCGAAAGCCUGACAGGGUUACUCUGAGUGGUUUCCGCUAAGGGAACCUUUUGGCACCUCUACAAAUGGUGCAGAAUAAGGGGUGGGCAAGUCUGGUGUCAGCCGCCGCGGUAAUACCAGCACCCCGAGUGGUCGGGACGAUUAUUGGGCCUAAAGCAUCCGUAGCCGGUCCUGCAAGUCUUCCGUUAAAUCCAGCUGCUCAACAGAUGGGCUGCGGGGGAUACUACAUGGCUAGGAGGCGGGAGAGGCAAGCGGUACUUUAUGGGUAGGGGUAAAAUCCGUUGAUCCAUAGAAGACCACCAGUGGCGAAGGCGGCUUGCCAGAACGCGCUCGACGGUGAGGGAUGAAAGCUGGGGGAGCAAACCGGAUUAGAUACCCGGGUAGUCCCAGCUGUAAACGAUGCAGACUCGGUGAUGGGCUGGCUUCGUGCCAACCCAGUGCCGCAGGGAAGCCGUUAAGUCUGCCGCCUGGGGAGUACGGUCGCAAGACUGAAACUUAAAGGAAUUGGCGGGGGAGCACCACAAGGGGUGAAGCCUGCGGUUCAAUUGGA